RNAcentral lists this ribosomal RNA (537 nucleotides) under uncultured bacterium. RNAcentral describes it as "bacterial SSU rRNA". It matches the Rfam family "Bacterial small subunit ribosomal RNA", at positions 9 to 523 of the family's 1533-position model. The record is from RNAcentral.
GAGUUUGAUCAUGGCUCAGAAUGAACGCUGGCGGCGUGCUUUACACAUGCAAGUCGAGCGGAGGCAUGAUCAAAGGGCAACCGGAGAUGAUGCCUCAGCGGCAAACGGGUGAGUAAUGGACAGGUAACGUACCCCCAAGACGUGGAUAGCUUAUCGAAAGAUGAGAUAAUACGCGAUAAUGUUGCAUCGCGACAGCGGUGCAAAGAAAGCGGGCGCAAGCUCGCGCUUCCGGAUCGGCCUGUCUCCUAUCAGCUAGUUGGUGGGGUAACAGCCUACCAAGGCGAUGACGGGUAGCUGGUCUAAGAGGAUGGUCAGCCACAUUGGAACUGCGACACGGUCCAGACUCCUACGGGAGGCAGCAGUGGGGAAUCAUGGUCAAUGGGCGAAAGCCUGAACCUGCGACGCCGCGUGAGUGAUGAAGGUCGUAAGAUCGUAAAACUCUUUUCAGGGAUAUUAAAGCUCCGGCUCUAACAUAGCCUGGAGUGUGACUCUCCCUGGAAUAAGCCCCAGCCAACUACGUGCCAGCAGCCGCGGUAC